CCUACGGGGGGCAGCAGUGGGGAAUAUUGGGCAAUGGGCGCAAGCCUGACCCAGCAACGCCGCGUGAAGGAUGAAGGCUUUCGGGUUGUAAACUUCUUUUAUCAGGGACGAACAAAUGACGGUACCUGAUGAAUAAGCCACGGCUAACUACGUGCCAGCAGCCGCGGUAAUACGUAGGUGGCAAGCGUUAUCCGGAUUUACUGGGUGUAAAGGGCGUGUAGGCGGGACUGCAAGUCAGGUGUGAAAACCACGGGCUCAACCUGUGGCCUGCAUUUGAAACUGUAGUUCUUGAGUGCUGGAGAGGCAAUCGGAAUUCCGUGUGUAGCGGUGAAAUGCGUAGAUAUACGGAGGAACACCAGUGGCGAAGGCGGAUUGCUGGACAGUAACUGACGCUGAGGCGCGAAAGCGUGGGGAGCAAACAGGAUUAUAUACCCCGGUAGUC
This 442-nucleotide ribosomal RNA is filed under the name uncultured bacterium. Its description in RNAcentral is "bacterial SSU rRNA". It matches the Rfam family "Bacterial small subunit ribosomal RNA", at positions 338 to 795 of the family's 1533-position model. The record is from RNAcentral.